GACGAACGCUGGCGGCGUGCUUAACACAUGCAAGUCGAACGGAAAGGCCCUGCUUUUGUGGGGUGCUCGAGUGGCGAACGGGUGAGUAACACGUGCGUAUCCUGCCCUUUACUUUGGGAUAACUUCAGGAACCUGGGGCUAAUACCGGAUAGGAGCUCCUGCUGAAUGGUUGGGGUUGCAAAGUUUCGGCGGUUGGGGAUGGACUCGCGGCUUAUCAGCUUGUUGGUGGGGUAGUGGCUUACCAAGGCUUUGACGGGUAUCCGGCCUGAGAGGGUGACCGGCCACAUUGAGACUGAGAGACGGCCCAGACGCCGACGGGAGGCAGCAGUGAGGAAUAUUGCACAAUGGGCGGAAGCCUGAUGCAGCAACGCCGCGUGCGUGAUGACGGCCUUCGGGUUGUAAACCGAUUGCGCCUGUGACGAAGCGUGAGUGACGGUAAUGGGUAAAGAAGCACCGGCUAACUACGUG
This 468-nucleotide ribosomal RNA is filed under the name uncultured bacterium. Its description in RNAcentral is "partial 16S ribosomal RNA". It matches the Rfam family "Bacterial small subunit ribosomal RNA", at positions 28 to 507 of the family's 1533-position model. The record is from RNAcentral.